This 91-nucleotide non-coding RNA is filed under the name uncultured Siminovitchia sp. Its description in RNAcentral is "Glycine riboswitch". It matches the Rfam family "Glycine riboswitch aptamer", at positions 9 to 86 of the family's 94-position model. Rfam says of the family: This family represents the bacterial glycine riboswitch. Glycine riboswitches usually consist of two metabolite-binding aptamers domains with similar structures in tandem. The aptamers cooperatively bind glycine to regulate the expression of downstream genes. Lineage: Bacteria; Bacillati; Bacillota; Bacilli; Caryophanales; Bacillaceae. The record is from RNAcentral.
ACGCAGCUCUGGAGAGUGUUCCACGAUGUGGAGCCACCAAAGGGGAAAGCCGGAUUUACCCGGUCAAACUUUCAGGUACCAAGACAGAGAG